CCUACUGUGGGCAGCAGUGGGGAAUAUUGCACAAUGGGGGAAACCCUGAUGCCGCGACGCCGCGUGAGUGCAGCAGUAUUUCGGUAUGUAAAGCUCUAUCAGCAGGGAAGACAAUGACGGUACCUGACUAAGCAGCCCCGGCUAACUACGUGCCAGCAGCCGCGGUAAUACGUAGGGGGCAAGCGUUAUCCGGAUUUACUGGGGUUAAAGGGAGCGUAGACGGCGGAACAAGUCAGAAGUGAAAACCCGGGGCUCAACCCUGGGAGUGCUUUUGAAACUGUUUGGCUGGAGUGCAGGAGAGGUAAGCGGAAGUCCUAGUGUAGCGGUGAAAUGCGUAGAUAUUAGGAGGAACACCAGUGGCGAAGGCGGCUUACUGGACUGUAACUGACGUUGAGGCUCGAAAGCGUGGGGAGCAAACAGGAUUAGAUACCCGUGUAGUC
Molecule: ribosomal RNA, 440 nt
Filed under: uncultured bacterium
Lineage: Bacteria
Description: partial 16S ribosomal RNA
Rfam family: Bacterial small subunit ribosomal RNA
Source: RNAcentral